Molecule: ribosomal RNA, 465 nt
Filed under: uncultured bacterium
Lineage: Bacteria
Description: partial 16S ribosomal RNA
Rfam family: Bacterial small subunit ribosomal RNA
Source: RNAcentral
GACGAACGCUGGCGGCGUGCUUAACACAUGCAAGUCGAACGGAAAGGCCCUGCUUGCAGGGUACUCGAGUGGCGAACGGGUGAGUAACACGUGGGUGAUCUGCCCUGCACUUCGGGAUAAGCCUGGGAAACUGGGUCUAAUACCGGAUAGGAGCCAUUUUUAGUGUGAUGGUUGGAAAGUUUUUUCGGUGUGGGAUGAGCUCGCGGCCUAUCAGCUUGUUGGUGGGGUAAUGGCCUACCAAGGCGGCGACGGGUAGCCGGCCUGGGAGGGGGGACGGCCACAUUGGGACUGGGAUACGGCCCAGACUCCUACGGGAGGCAGCAGUGGGGAAUAUUGCACAAUGGGCGCAAGCCUGAUGCAGCGACGCCGCGGGGGGGAUGACGGCCUUCGGGUUGUAAACUCCUUUCGCUAGGGACGAAGCUUUUUGUGACGGUACCUAGAGAAGAAGCACCGGCUAACUACGUG